This 594-nucleotide long non-coding RNA is filed under the name Drosophila guanche. Lineage: Eukaryota; Metazoa; Arthropoda; Insecta; Diptera; Drosophilidae. The record is from RNAcentral.
GUGCGAAGUACUCGUAAAACCCCCCGAAAACCUCAACAAAAAUAAUAAUAAAAUUGAUGAAAGCAAAGUGAAAGAGGGGCAUAAACGGAUGCCCCAAAAUUAAUUCAGUUGCCACCCACUUGGCGGCGCUACACAAAAAUUUUGUUUUCUUUUCCAUUUGCCGGGGGGGAAAACUAUUUUUUCUUCACUUUUAUGAUUUAUGCCAAUAUUCCAGCCCAGCCCAGCUCGGCCCUUUGGAGUGCCUUUGAAGUGGCUUUCCCCCUUUGUUUUCCAACACUCAAACGAUGUGCUAAUUUGGCAAAAUAUUAAAGCAACAAUUAAAUAUCCAUUCCAGUGUCAAUUGCAGCACAUUUGUUGGCCUUUUUCCUUUUCCCUUCGGAUGCAGCUGCAGGAAAUUUUUUCGAAACUCAUGACACAACGUUGAAAGGGUUAAUGGGGGCGGCUGUGUUGCAUUUCGUUGCAUAAUCGAUCAUUAUGAGGUGGCACCUAUCGAUUAAUGAGCUUUUUUAGUUUGCCUUGAGAGUUUUUAGCUCGAUGUUUAUUUUGUUUUGGUUAUUUUUGGAGUUUUAAAAGGGAAAAUAUAUUUUCAGUGAG